RNAcentral lists this ribosomal RNA (506 nucleotides) under uncultured bacterium. RNAcentral describes it as "partial 16S ribosomal RNA". It matches the Rfam family "Bacterial small subunit ribosomal RNA", at positions 29 to 523 of the family's 1533-position model. The record is from RNAcentral.
AGUGAACGCUGGCGGUAGGCCUAACACAUGCAAGUCGAACGGCAGCACAGAGGAGCUUGCUCCUUGGGUGGCGAGUGGCGGACGGGUGAGGAAUACAUCGGAAUCUACUCUGUCGUGGGGGAUAACGUAGGGAAACUUACGCUAAUACCGCAUACGACCUACGGGUGAAAGCAGGGGACCUUCGGGCCUUGCGCGAUUGAAUGAGCCGAUGUCGGAUUAGCUAGUUGGCGGGGUAAAGGCCCACCAAGGCGACGAUCCGUAGCUGGUCUGAGAGGAUGAGCAGACACACUGGAACUGAGACACGGUCCAGACUCCUACGGGAGGCAGCAGUGGGGAAUAUUGGACAAUGGGCGCAAGCCUGAUCCAGCCAUACCGCGUGGGUGAAGAAGGCCUUCGGGUUGUAAAGCCCUUUUGUUGGGAAAGAAAUCCAGCUGGCUAAUACCCGGUUGGGAUGGCGGUACCCAAAGAAUAAGCACCGGCUAACUUCGUGCCAGCCGCCGCAGUAA